UUCCCACCCCCCCCCGGGCGCGCUUUGGAACGAAAGGGACAGCCCAACAGGCCAGUGAGGAAGGGGGCAAGGGAGGGCGCUACCAAUUAGAGGGUGGGGGGGAGGAAGAUGAAGAGGCAGGCGCGCGCCCUGCGCUACUACGGAUCCUCUUUAUCAUGCAGCAAAGAAAGUGGUUGGUUUUGCGGAGAGGCAGGCUGGGGAGGUGGAGGUGGAGGUGGAGGUCCUGAAGUGGGGGAAAGUUCGGUCUUCGGCGCGCGAGGGCGGGGUCCGGACCGGAAUGGACUCUUCGCCCUCCCCUUUGCGAGCAUCUUUCAGAGGAGGAGCCGGGGAAGACCUCGUGCUUUUUGGGAAGGGGAAUGUUGGCUGGCGCUUUCUCUCUGAUAAGUUAGCUUGUUUUCAGAUCCAAGAUGACGUCGUCGUUUAAAGGAGGUGCUUUCUUUCUUUCUUUUAGAUAUAUAUUUUUUACGUGACUCGUUUUUUAAAAAAGCUUUGGAUAUGGAAAACUUUGACAGCCGUUCAGUGGCUUGCGCUACUCAGAGUAGACCCAAUGAAGUUAAUAGGCACGACUGACUUGGUUUUAAUAGGCCUUGUCUAGGUAGGACAUCAUUGAACGCAACCCUUUAAUUUGUACCUGCGCAAAAGAGAUGCCAUGGAAAAAACAUUCAGACAUUCCUUGGCGAUUUUUAAUUAAAUUGCCGGCUUAGGAUCCCUUUGACAUUCCCCUGGGCAUAAUAAGGCUGGUCACUAUGAGAAAAGAAUGGCGGGCUGCUUGGGGCUUGGGCUUAAUCCAGCAGGCUCUUCCUAGGAUUAAGAAAAGAAGUGGUGCAGAAUUAAAACUGCUAGUACAGUUGCAAAGCUAAGCAGGGUCUGGUAUGGUUUCAAAUUGGAUGGGAGACCAAGGGCCCCGCAGGGGGUUGGACUAGAUGACUUUCAGGAUCCCUUCCAACUCUACUGUUUUAUUAUUCUGAAUUCUUCAGGUGAAGAUCUCUUUAAUGCAUCUGACUGCAGACGAGGAGAAGCCUGACUUCUUGAAUGUCUGCACUAGCGGUGAGAAACCUGUGGCCAUCUGUGGUGGUUUUUUGGGGGAUGCCAUAUGCCAUCAGCGCCAACCAGCAAGCCCAGUGGUCAGGGAUGAUGGGUAAAGGAGCGUCUCCACCCCCAUCGUUCAGCCCAGACACUGAGAUCCAGAGCCGAGGAUAAACAACUACCUGACAUUCAGAAGACAUCUUAAGGCAGCCCUGUUCAGGGAAGUUUUUAAUAUUUAACGCUGUACUGUUUUUAACACUUGAUUGGGAGCCGUCCAGAGUGGCUGGGGAAACUUAGCCAGAUGGGCGGGGUAUAAAUAAAUUAUUAUUAUUAUUA
Molecule: long non-coding RNA, 1362 nt
Organism: Podarcis raffonei (Aeolian wall lizard)
Lineage: Eukaryota; Metazoa; Chordata; Lepidosauria; Squamata; Lacertidae
Exons: 2
Source: RefSeq, a predicted model, not a curated record